CCCUUUUCCCCCUAUACUUCCAUUAGCUUAACAGACAUGCAAAAACGAAUAUGGAUAAAUGAUCAGAUUUAAAAAAUAUUUUUGCAAUGCUUCAAUAUGCUCACUUCUAUAGAGUUGUAUAUGGUUGUCCUCUGUUGCUUGGGGGCUCAGGAAAUGCAUUUGAUUUUAAUGACCUCUUCAGUUGCUAAUAUGAUUGCAACUCUCCGCUGCCGUUCCCUACAGUGUCUUGUACUUAAUGCUGAAAAGAUACUGGGAAACACUUGUUACAUCUCUGAAAGAUGUCCUGCUGCUCUGGGUUUGCUGAUGUUCCUCUAUUUCAGCCUGCGAACGCUCAGCGCUUCCAGUAGGGGUCAGGAUGACAUUGUCAGAUAUUUCGUAAACGUGCUGACCUGAAUAGGAGCCUUCCAAUACUCCUUAUUUGCACAGACAAAACCUUUGGGUGGGUUUUGUUUGUUUUACUUUUUAAUAUGCAGAUAAAGCGUGGUAUAAUUAUGUUUGUUUCCACGGGAUUUUAGCAGAAACUUUGUAAAGUUUGAUGACAAAUGUGUCGAGUUUCUUGAGAAACGGUGAAGGUUGGGAGUAGAGGAAAGCAGUGGGAAGGAGGUGACCCUGAAGAACUAACGCUGCUAUUGAGACGGAUCUAACAACGCAGUCUGGGCUCCGUGCCAAAGGCUGGUAUUUCACAGCAGCGACCGCCUUACAGAUGAGCUGUGGGAAGCAGGAGGGAGACUCUCUUAGGGUGCCACUACUAUGGAGACACAGCUGGGCUGAACAAGAUUUGCUUCAAACGACAACAAGAGAGACAGAAAGUGUCUGGUUCGACCGCUGCCCAAGCAGGCAGUAACCAGAAGAGCUAGCAGCCAAUCCGGCCAUGCUGCACUGUUCGAAACCAGCUCUACAUCCCAGCCAAUCAGUGACAUCACUGGAGUGCUGCUCAACUGGUUGCUGCAGAGCAGGGCAGAAAGAAGUCUGUGUGCUGCCGGGAUCCAAAGAACAGCUUCCCUUUGCUUCUGACCCAAAAGCACAAUUCAGACUGGGAAAAACACCCCUCUCCUCUGAGUAUCCCCUGGGCUCGGCUCUCCUUCUCCUUCCAGAAGGUUCUGCUUUCUGGGCGCGGGGCUUCCCGCAGCGCUGGCCGCUAGGGGAUGCUCCUGGCCCGGCGUCGGAGCAGCGCUCCCGGCUGCUCCCCGCACGGUUCCCGGAGCUGGGCGCUGCCGCCGGCCCUGGGCUAUCGGUUUUUUACAAUGGCAGAGCUGCUGUAGGUCACACCGUGGUUUAUUCAGUGCUCCGACUAGCUUUCAUUAUUCAUCUGGUCUUUAGGAACGGUCCCAAAUCUCUGUGCUCAGCUGAGACUUCAGAUUUGUUCUUAAACAGAUACAAUAGGAAAGACAUAUUUAAAAAGAGACCACUCAGCAGCUAUGGUUUUUCUAUAAAGGCACGUAUGUGAAAUUAGUUCCGUAUUCAAGUUGAAAAAAAAUCCUAAAGUAAAAAGCAAAUUAUAACGUUUAAAAUCGUAUGCAGAAAUAUGCUUCUCAUCUUUUAUUGCUAUUCCCAAAUUGCUCUGUAACAUGAGGUUUCUGCACAGAGAGCACAGGAUUUCACGUGGCUGUGGCAUGAGAGUAUAAUAUAAAAGGAGUAUUUUUAAGGUAAUGAAGUUAGAUAUUCAGAUGUUGUGUAAUGGCAGAUUUGAAGUUGUUUACGAUAGCUCAUUUCUUCUAUUGCAUCAGAACACGAUCUUUACCUUUGUAAUCAUGUUCUGCCUCUUUCUUUCCCCCCUAAGCCCUCACCUCCUAUGGGACUUCUGCCUUAUCCACACAAUUUAGAGAUGCAUAAGUUUGUGCAGUGAGAGUCUCUUCAUUUCUUACAGUUGGAUAUUGUGCAGUAGAUAAAUCAUAGGCUACAGGAAAGGAAGUAUAUAGGUGAGAAGUUGGAUAAAACUCUGAAAAAUUGGAUUGUAGUCUCAUCUCUGCCAACGAUGUUCAGUAAAAACAGUCAAUUUUUCAUAUCAUGUGUAUUCCCCAGCUUCUGUGUGCUGACAGUGAGAUCCUAUCUUCUGAUUAAUCAGAAGUGUUGAACACCCACAUCUACUUCUGAAGUCACAAGAGAGUUGUGUUUUGAGUCUACAGAAUAAUGAACAGUGCUGUCUAUUAUGCCAGCUCAUGUGCUAGAUGUCUUAGAUUUUGUGUACCUCUAUCUCUCUGACUGUAAUCUCUGUGUACAUCUUUUGUCAUCUGUAGAAGACAGAUGCACGCUUCUUCAAGGCUGCAAUGAAAAUAAUAUGUCUGAAUCACUCGUAUCUUCUAAUGAUGAACAUUAAAGAAAUGCCUGGACAAAGUAAAUGCAUCUGUCUUCAAAGGAGAUUUUGAAUCACAGAUAAGAAAUAAAGCCCACUGCCCAGGAUCA
RNAcentral lists this long non-coding RNA (2403 nucleotides) under Phasianus colchicus (ring-necked pheasant). Its description in RNAcentral is "lncRNA (ENSPCLG00000021177.1)". Lineage: Eukaryota; Metazoa; Chordata; Aves; Galliformes; Phasianidae. The record is from RNAcentral.